CAGUAGUCCACAGCCAUCUCCGUCUCCGGCCACCGCAUCGCCAUGGCCUCCGCCUCGUCCGGCGCCGCGGCCUUCUCCCGCCUCGUCGACCGCACCCGGGUCCCGGACCCCACGCUCCAGCGCCACGCCGUCGCGGCCUUCUUCCGCCAUCUCCUCACGCUGUCCCCUCCUCUCCCCGCGGCCGCCCACGACGGCAUCUCCUCCCUCCUCGCUUCCCCGCACGCCGCUGUCGCCGCCUACGCCUCCGCGUCCCUCGCCCGCCUCGCGGUCUCCCGCACCGACCUCCUCGCCCCCGACGAGGCCCUCCCGUUCCUCAUCGCAUCCCUCUCCGCUUCCCCGUCUCCCCGCCUGGCCUCAUGCCUCGUCAAGGCCGUAGCCGCGCUCGUUUCCUGCGUCCUCCGCUCGGGCCCCGCUGGCUCACGCUUCCCGCCCCACAACCACCCCUUCGUCCAGGCUCUCGCGUCGGCUGCUGACGGCGCGCGCGCGGAGCUGUCGCGGCAGGCGGCCAGGAUGGUCGCCGAGGGGGUCGACGGCGUGGUGGGGUUCCUGAGGCCGUUCGUGAUGUUUGCCGUGGUGAGGAAGGGGGACGCCGCGUUCGCGAGGGAUUUGAUAGGCGCGCUUGCCGCAGCGGCCACUGCAGCGGGUAAAUCGGGCGGGGCAGUCCCAGUGCUGAAAUUGCUCGGCGAGAGCUUGCUGCAUUUCGGCCGCGGGGAUGGGGAGGAAGGGCGGCUCUGGCUUAGUUCUGUGGAGUGCUUGGUCGAUGCGUACGUGAUAUUACUGAGGAAGUUAGCUCAUGCUCAAAGGCCAGCCUAUGAUGCCCAAGCAAGUAGUGUGGAGUUGCUAGAAAUACUUUUGUCGCAAUGUUCACUUCAUCACCAACUUCUGGGAAUGUCUUGUGCAGUUCUUCAAUUAUCAAAAUAUUUGUUUUCGGUGCAAAAGGACCUUGGGUUAUGCUAUCUUCCUGAAAUUUCUGGUGUUCUCAGUUCUCCUUCUUGCAUUCUCGGUGUGCUGGAGUUUGAAUCUGAGCAACUGGCUGGAUUGAAAUUUCUGGCCUUCUUGAUUGAAUGGAGACAUGAAAAUGCGGUCAAAACAAAUGAAGUGGUACACCACUUUAGUGAGGAGCUUCUCUGUGUUCUGCCAGUUAUCAACCUCGUUAUUUCUCCAUCGAGAUCUGUUAAAGCAGUGGCAUCCCAUGUGCUGUCAAGAUUUAGCUUGCUUGUUUUGGAGUUACCUGCUUCUUGUUCAUCAGAGAAACGAGACAUUUCAAUGGUCCACCACAUAAGCAGACCUACCUUUAUCCUUCCUAAACUUGUACAUCAUCUAUGGUCUCAGUCAUCUUCAGGUUUCUUUUUUACGAAGUAUGCAAUUUGCAAGGGAUUGCCGGAGUCAGCUGCAAACUAUUCAGAAGCUAAUUAUUGGACAGACCAAAUAAACGAGUAUCUGUCAGUCCUUGCCAGAGAAAAGCUUACACUGGAUGGCUCAUCUUCAAAAACGAUGUCAUCAGCACCAAUAUCAUCGCUUGUAAGCUCUGUAGUAUCUGUUUUGGUAAUGCACCCAAAACUUGGUACUUCUGCUGCUCGUUCCUUGGGUAAUCUUGGUGCAUCAGAUUCGAAACUGGGAAUGCCGCUGUUGCUAGUUAUCCUCUUCUAUUGCAAGAUUAUGUACAGCAAUGAUAACCUCUCAGCAAAUAGCUUGCUCAGUUUGCUUGAGUCGUUGCCAUCACUUGCUACACAUGGUUUUGUGCUUCCACUUGCUCUGCAAUUGAUAUCACCAAUGCUUAAAAAGGAUGCAAAAUCGACUCUGUAUGCUAUUGCUGUUCGAUUGCUUUGCAAGAUAUGGAUUAUCACAGAUUGGGCAUUUCCAAACUUACAAGGAGUUCUGGAUCCUGAAACAUUUUCCAGUUUCACUACUGAUAGAGAAGUUUUCACAAGUAUUGCUGCAUCAGUGCGUGAUGUUUGCAAGCAGAACCCAGAUAGAGGUGUCGAUCUCAUAUUAUCUGUCUCGUCUUGUAUUGAGAGCCGUGAUUCUGUAGUUCAAGCUCUUGGCCUGGAGAGCCUCUCCUAUCUCUGUGAGGCGGACAUCGUGGAUUUUUAUACUGCCUGGAAAGUUAUAUCAAAGGAGCUGAAAGAUUAUUCAAUUGAUCCCAUGGUUUCAAAUGGCUUAUGCAUUUUGUUGAGAUGGGGAGCAAUGGAUGCUGAAGCAUAUUCUGAAACAUCAAAGAACUUGAUACAAACAUUGUGGAGCAUUGGUACAUACAAGAAAAAUAACGCCGAAGCUGAUCAUCUUUGGAUUAAAGCAAGAGGAACUGCUUUUCAUUCAUUGUCCCACUACAAGAUCUCACUUAUUCAAGAUUCUAUUCCUGAUUUCUGGAGGAGAAACUAUGAGUGCUUUACUAAUGAACAUAAUCUGGAAGUUCUCAAAGCUAUGGAGAACUUUCAAGUCGAGAUUAUCAAAUUUGAGCACAUAAACCGCCGUAGAGUGACCACAGAUAAAAGAACCACGGUGCACAAAUUUGAGAAGUUAUUGGAUGUUCUCCCUCAGUCCGUGUUUAAAGAAAAAUCCGCACACCAUCGGUUGCCUGGUGCAGCUCUUUUAACCAUCAAGUUUUCCUCAGAGGACAUCCUUCGUGAAGGAAAAUCUAAGGGUUUGUCUAGAGUACAUGCUGCAUAUGAGCAGGCAUUAAUGGAGAUGGCUGAAUCUAUGUUUAUAUCAAGAAACAUUGUGGUAGCUCUUCUUGCUUUGCAUUCAUGGAAAUCAUUUGUCUCCCAUUGGAUGCAGGCAGCUGUAACUUUGCUUGACACUAAAGAAUCUUCAAAGUUGAAUAAACCUUUAAAAGCAGCUAACGAUAUUUUUAAGAUAUUGUGCAAGUGCGUUCCUGUAUCUAAUCCUAGAGUUGCUGUUAACAUUACUCUUGCAAUUGGAGCGCUGUGCUUGGUAGUUCCUCCGACUGCCCAUCUAGUAAUCACAUCUGCAUCUGAUUUUCUUUUGAAAUGGUUACUGCAAUAUGAGCAUGAGCACCAACAGUGGUCUGCAGCUAUCUCUUUGGGAUUUAUAUUCAAUUGUUUUCACCCCACGGACAAAAAAAGCAAGCUUCAGGUUAUUGAUGGACUCUUUGAGGUUAUCUCAAAUGCUGAUAGUUAUCUUGUAAAAGGAGCUUGUGGACUGGGAUUAGGUUAUGCUUCCCAAGGUCUUCUAACCAGAGCAGAUAGUACAUCUGAUUCAGACUUAGAAGCAACUACACAAUUCAACGAACGUGCAUCAGUUAAAGAAGUUCUUCACACUCUGACUGCUUCAUUAGUUAAACUAUGUCCAUCCUCAUGUCAUUCUCUCAAGAAACUAAGUAUUUGUGGAACAUUCUCCAUGGAAGGAAUGGAAGAAAAUUAUGACAGCUUAGAUGAUGAUCCUUGGGCUAUUGCGGGACUUGUUCUUGGUCUGGGAAACUCUGUUGUUGCUCUGUAUAGGCUUGGAGCUUAUGAAGACGUUAUUGAAAUCAAGAACAUAUUGAUAUCAUGGAUACCAGAUGUUGAUUCAAGCUCUGUGCUAUUUGAUGAAGUAAAUUCAGUAUCCCUGUGUAUGGGCUCUUGCCUUGCUCUGCCAUCUGUGAUAGCAUUUUGCCAGAGAGUGGAGUUACUGAAUGAUGAUUUGGAUGCUCUGUUCAAUCGCUACACUUCUUUAGCUACUGAACUCCUGAACCUCAAGAAAUCUGGAACUGUCUUUCAGAAUUUAUUGAUGGCUAUCUGUAUCGGUGCUGGAUCUUUGCUGUCUGGCAUAUUGAAUGAUGGGGUGCAUGCCAUGAAAUUUGCUGAUGUUAAGAAGUUUCUUGACAGUCUUAAAUAUAUAUACACCCAUCCUUAUCCUCCUCUUGUCCAUUUGGGAGGCAUGUUUGGUGCUGUCAAUGCUUUUGGUGCAGGUGCUGGAGACCUCACUGGGAUUGGUUGGCAAUCAAUGAAUUCACAGAUAAAGCAUGAGAAGGAGUCAACUUUGGUGCGAGGUCCUCUACUUACAAGUCCUGUUGGCGAGACUCUUUCAACGUCAAUGGUUCAGGAAAUAUUUCUUCUUGCCAAGGACGCAGAGGAUAAUCACGUACGGAAUUAUGCUGCAUGGGCUGUAUCAUUUCUUAGAAGUAGGUGGUUAUUAGAGAACCAAAGUCUUAAUGAUAAUGAUUCUUCUCAAAGAAAUUCCGUUGAUUCCAGUCAAUCAAGAAGUUUUUCUGCUGAAAGCUUAGUGUGGAACUUAAGUCUCUGGCUGAGGGAUCUUAACUUUGAAAAGCCUGGUGAUGUAGUGCCAGUAAAUACAAUUGCAACAGUUUUGAAAUGCCUUACUAAAGCUCCUAGAGUGCCAGCUAUAGACUGGGGGGUUAUAGUACGGCGGUGCAUGAAAGUUGAGGCACAAAUUCCUCAGAAGUCAACCAAUCAUCGAGAUCCUACAUUAUUAAGGGAAGAAUGCUUAUAUUUUUCUCUAGCUCAUGCCGAUCAUAUCAGUCCCCUUCUACAGUUUUUGGAUGAUCUGACAGAUUUACCCAGGUUCAGGAGAUUAGAAAUGAACGUGCAGUCUGUUUUGCUCCAAUAUUUGUCACACCUAAUGAAGCUCUUCUCUGAUUCAAGAUCUAAGAAACUGUACGAGGAUUUAGCUGUGUACUUCUGUUCCCACUUAUCUUCACACUUGGAUUACUCUUCUGAGCAGAGAAGCAUGUUAAGAAUGUCCUUCUGGAAAGGCAUCUGUAAGUGCCUGAUGGAGGUGGUCUCUGAAGAGACCGACAGUUUCUCUUAUGUUAAAAAAUGCAUCGAAUGCUUGUUACCUCUGUUGAAUCUCUGUAAUGAUGGUCAACCUGAAUUCGUGGACGAAUGGUCUGCUGCUAUCAAGUGUCUCAUUGUUGCUCAGAAAAGUUGGCCGGGUGAUAUGCUACAGGUGCACAGUACCACAUCCUUAAGUGAAGGAGAACAUGUUGAUGCGGCAAGGAAGAUUAUCAUCAGGGCAAGGUUGUGUUUUGCUGGUUGCAUUUCUGCACUUGAGCUGGGGAACAUAAAGACUACCAUACUGAGUACAACAGCUGAUGGCGUCUGGUGGAACGUUCUUGUUGAGGUUGCAGCAGCUGUAUACUCUGCUGACAAUGGUAUAAAGAAGCAGUGGCUUUUGGAUGCAUUAGACAUUGGUUGUGUUACAGCUCAUCCCUCCACGGCACUGCGUUUUGUUGGCCUGCUAUGUGGUAGCUGUUGUAUCUAUAUGCCACUUCUCAUUGUUAAUCCAACAAACGUACUGAGUGAUUUGCCCGUCACGCUGCCUUCCUUUCUCUCCAGCAGCAUUUGGGAUGACCUUAGAAACUCUGCCGCCGAUAAGUUAUGGUUGUUGACCACUCGCAUCUACAUGUGGGCAGAACAAUUGACUCGUGGAGAGGGCCUUCCUUGCCAUGAUCAUAUUCAUCGAAGUGAAGCUGAGAAUGCAACUUUUCUUGCGAACAUGCUGCGCUCUACAUGCAUCGCAGUGGAAGAUCACUUCACUGUAGAUAAACAGCUAAAGCUUGCAAACCUGGAGGCAUUAUGAGUGUAUGGAGAACUGAUUAUCAUUUUAACGAUCUGUAUGCAAUAGCAUAUUUGUCUAGAACACCUAUUAUUGCUGUUUUAACUGAUGAUGUAGCAAUGCCUUUGUUGUAUAUAAUUUUAGUUAGUUUCCCCAUAUAUUUUAAGUGAUGGUUCUUAGUGUGAACAUAAUUUGGUGGAAGAUAACCGGAGAAUAAAAUUGCUGUGUUCUCUGAAUUUAAUUGCACUAUGCAACAAUUUCUUAUCGUCAAACU
RNAcentral lists this ribosomal RNA (5791 nucleotides) under Triticum aestivum (bread wheat). RNAcentral describes it as "partial small subunit ribosomal RNA". Lineage: Eukaryota; Viridiplantae; Streptophyta; Magnoliopsida; Poales; Poaceae. The record is from RNAcentral.